GAUGAACGCUGGCGGCGUGCCUAAUACAUGCAAGUCGAGCGAACGGACGAGAAGCUUGCUUCUCUGAUGUUAGCGGCGGACGGGUGAGUAACACGUGGAUAACCUACCUAUAAGACUGGGAUAACUUCGGGAAACCGGAGCUAAUACCGGAUAAUAUUUUGAACCGCAUGGUUCAAAAGUGAAAGACGGUCUUGCUGUCACUUAUAGAUGGAUCCGCGCUGCAUUAGCUAGUUGGUAAGGUAACGGCUUACCAAGGCAACGAUGCAUAGCCGACCUGAGAGGGUGAUCGGCCACACUGGAACCGAGACACGGUCCAGACUCCUACGGGAGGCAGCAGUAGGGAAUCUUCCGCAAUGGGCGAAAGCCUGACGGAGCAACGCCGCGUGAGUGAUGAAAGUCUUCGGAUCGUAAAACUCUGUUAUUAGGGAAGAACAUAUGUGUAAGUAACUGUGCACAUCUUGACGGUACCUAAUCAGAAAGCCACGGCUAACUACGUG
Molecule: ribosomal RNA, 497 nt
Filed under: uncultured bacterium
Lineage: Bacteria
Description: partial 16S ribosomal RNA
Rfam family: Bacterial small subunit ribosomal RNA
Source: RNAcentral